UACGUAGGGAGCAAGCGUUGUCCGGAAUCAUUGGGCGUAAAGCGCGCGUAGGUGGCUUCGUAAGUCCGUUGUGAAAGUCAAAGGCUCAACCUUUGAAAGCCGAUGGAUACUGCGGAGCUAGAGUACGGAAGAGGCGAGUGGAAUUCCGGGUGUAGCGGUGGAAUGCGUAGAGAUCCGGAAGAACACCGGUGGCGAAGGCGGUCUGCUGGGCAGUUGCUGACGCUGAUGCGCGACAGCGUGGGGAGCAAACAGG
Molecule: ribosomal RNA, 253 nt
Filed under: uncultured bacterium
Lineage: Bacteria
Description: partial 16S ribosomal RNA
Rfam family: Bacterial small subunit ribosomal RNA
Source: RNAcentral